ACGGAAACCUGCUUCAGUCCAACAGACUCAAGAGACCCCAGCUCAACCAUGAUCUCCCAAAGGACCUGGAGCUCACCAGCUAGGUUGGCUGACUUUGGAGUACUAUCUGCCUCUGCCUCCCCCACACCGACAUUACAUGCCACCAUGCUGAUUUUUUAUAUGGCUGCUCAGGUCUUCAAGAUUACACAACAGCCCUCCCUCUCUGGAGAAUGUGUGUGAAACAAUCUUCGCAGCUCCUGAGCCCUCCGAUGGUAUCGAUCCAGAUGUGGAAAUUGGUAUUGACUGCAGCUGCUGCUCAGCGCACUUCCCCGGCUUUUAAAGACACAGCGUAUAGGUGAUUUCACUUUGCACAGGACACAGCUCGGGAGACAUUUGCUGAUCCAAACUAAA
Long non-coding RNA from Mus musculus (house mouse), 390 nucleotides. RefSeq annotates it as predicted gene, 39696. The transcript is spliced from 3 exons. Lineage: Eukaryota; Metazoa; Chordata; Mammalia; Rodentia; Muridae. The record is from RefSeq and is a predicted model, not a curated record.